RNAcentral lists this ribosomal RNA (362 nucleotides) under uncultured bacterium. RNAcentral's name for it is "bacterial SSU rRNA". It matches the Rfam family "Bacterial small subunit ribosomal RNA", at positions 10 to 374 of the family's 1533-position model. The record is from RNAcentral.
AGUUUGAUCCUGGCUCAGAUUGAACGCUGGCGGCAUGCCUUACACAUGCAAGUCGAACGGCAGCACGGGAGCAAUCCUGGUGGCGAGUGGCGAACGGGUGAGUAAUACAUCGGAACGUGCCCAAUCGUGGGGGAUAACGCAGCGAAAGCUGUGCUAAUACCGCAUAAGAUCUACGGAUGAAAGCAGGGGAUCGCAAGACCUUGCGCGAAUGGAGCGGCUGAUGGCAGAUUAGGUAGUUGGUGAGGUAAAGGCUCACCAAGCCUUCGAUCUGUAGCUGGUCUGAGAGGACGACCAGCCACACUGGGACUGAGACACGGCCCAGACUCCUACGGGAGGCAGCAGUGGGGAAUUUUGGACCGCCC